Molecule: long non-coding RNA, 1474 nt
Organism: Daphnia pulicaria
Lineage: Eukaryota; Metazoa; Arthropoda; Branchiopoda; Diplostraca; Daphniidae
Exons: 10
Source: RefSeq, a predicted model, not a curated record
AUGAUAAAAAAAAAACAGUCAGAAUUAUGGAGCUUCAGUUUUGGCCAUUGUAAGUUUCUUCAACAUGCUGGUUGGUAGAUCUCAAGAGAAGUAGAAGUACUGCAGACAAGGAACAUCAUUGAUGGCAUUGGAUAUAGGAAUGAGUUUUGAGAUCCAGGAAAACAGUGAAAUUCUCUUGCUCAAUGAUAUCAAUUGGGCUAGUAGUUUACUCCUGUCGUGUCUUUGCUACCACUACCACACAUAUCAUUUCAUGAAUUCAUGCAUCACAUGUUGAGAUAAUCCGUCAUUUUAAAAGAGUCGCUGUUCGAGAAUGUAUAGACUUUAGAUCUAAUGUAUAGAUCGUAUACGUUAUCAUUGCGGGGACCCUCCUUAUCUCACUCUUUUAAAAGGUAACAUAACCUUCAAUUUAUGCUUGGCAGUUUUAUCUGAUCACGUGGCCUCGCCGAAACUGCAUAUAGUACAUUUCCCCAAAAUGUCGUCUGUCUCUUGCUGCACAUACCGCCUGUUCGUUUCGUCACAUGCAGCAACAAUCCAGAACAGAAAAAAAAUUGAGUUUUUUUCUCUAAGUAGGAAUACAGCUUUUUAAGGUAUGAGCUUCUCAGUCCAACGUGCAUUGUUGUAGUUGCAGUAAGCUGGCAGGUGAUCUUCUUGCAGUUUUGCUUGCUAUCUGUACAGCUUGUACCUUUCGUCACAUGCAGCAACCCUUCAGAACAGUUUAAAAUAAUGGAGUUGGUCUGGUGUUUAUGGAAUACAGCCUCUUAAGGUCUGACUGAGCCUCUCAGUAGGAUGUGUACGCGGAUUUGUUGCAGACAGCUGGCGAAAGGUGUUCUUCUUGCUGGCUUGCUUUCUUCUUACAGAUUACAACCUCUUGCUCUUUGGCUCCGAACCUCUUGGUAGCAGUCCAAUGUGCAGACGGACUAGGUGCAGUUAGUUGGUGUACGGUGUGGUACUGUUCAUGCAGACUAUAGUGCUGAUGUAGUGUGUAAAAUUCUGUCUACCAGGUGGCGAAGUGUCUUUUCGUGAGUGAAAAUGAGGUGACAAAAUUCCGACAUUUGCUUUGAAAGCAGUGGACUGGAAUGUGUUGCUGACGGUAUUUUUCGCUUUUACAUUUAAGAACGAUUGAGGUAUUCCGACGCCAUAUUUCGACCAAGCUGAAUCGAAAGUGAACAACUCUAAAGCAAAUCAUGCGUUUCUCCACGUGGUCGCUGCCGUGUCAUGUAGAUGCGUCUUUGAGAGGGUUUCUCCUAUAUCGCAAGACAAAAUUGUGAUGAAAACAGGAAAUCUGAAAUGGAUUUCAUGAUCAGUUUGAUUUUGGAGCUGUUUAUGGUGUUGCUGCGUGGUGUGCAGUGGUUUCACAAUCAUUUUCCAGUUGGCCGAUGCACUUGAAUGGAGUUUGUGCAGACUUGCAAUUCAACAUCAUACCCCAAUGUGUUAUUUGCCUAUGGUUGUGUCCGUGCUGAGAUGAACAGUUAGU